GGGUUAAGUCCCGUAACGAGCGCAACCCUUGUCCUUAGUUACCAGCACGUUAUGGUGGGCACUCUAAGGAGACUGCCGGUGACAAACCGGAGGAAGGUGGGGAUGACGUCAAGUCAUCAUGGCCCUUACGGCCUGGGCUACACACGUGCUACAAUGGUCGGUACAAAGGGUUGCCAAGCCGCGAGGUGGAGCUAAUCCCAUAAAACCGAUCGUAGUCCGGAUCGCAGUCUGCAACUCGACUGCGUGAAGUCGGAAUCGCUAGUAAUCGUGAAUCAGAAUGUCACGGUGAAUACGUUCCCGGGCCUU
Molecule: ribosomal RNA, 306 nt
Filed under: uncultured Pseudomonas sp.
Lineage: Bacteria; Pseudomonadati; Pseudomonadota; Gammaproteobacteria; Pseudomonadales; Pseudomonadaceae
Description: bacterial SSU rRNA
Rfam family: Bacterial small subunit ribosomal RNA
Source: RNAcentral